This 85-nucleotide transfer RNA is filed under the name Candidatus Bathyarchaeota archaeon. RNAcentral describes it as "tRNA-Leu". It matches the Rfam family "tRNA". From Rfam's summary of the family: Transfer RNA (tRNA) molecules are approximately 80 nucleotides in length. Their secondary structure includes four short double-helical elements and three loops (D, anti-codon, and T loops). Further hydrogen bonds mediate the characteristic L-shaped molecular structure. tRNAs have two regions of fundamental functional importance: the anti-codon, which is responsible for specific mRNA codon recognition, and the 3' end, to which the tRNAs corresponding amino acid is attached (by aminoacyl-tRNA synthetases). tRNAs cope with the degeneracy of the genetic code in two manners: having more than one tRNA (with a specific anti-codon) for a particular amino acid; and 'wobble' base-pairing, i.e. permitting non-standard base-pairing at the 3rd anti-codon position. The record is from RNAcentral. Lineage: Archaea; Thermoproteati; Candidatus Bathyarchaeota.
GCGGGGAUAGCCAAGUCUGGUCAAAGGCGCAGGGCUUAGGACCCUGUCCCACAGGGGUUCGUGGGUUCGAGUCCCACUCCCCGCA